GUUGAAUCAAGGGAUUCUUUGAAUAGCAUAGCCCUGAAAUUUGAUACAACACCUAACGAACUUGUUCAAUUAAAUAAGUUAUUCUCCCGAGCAGUUGUUACUGGACAGGUUCUGUAUGUUCCUGAUCCUGAAUAUGUCUCCAGUGUAGAGAGCUCUCCAUCUCUAAGCCCCGUAAGUCCUCUGUCACCAACAUCAUCUGAGGCUGAAUUUGAUAAGACCACUAAUCCUGAUGUCCAUCCAACAGAAGCAACUCCCUCAUCUGCUUUCACUGGUAUUCGACCUGCACGAGUUGUAUCUUCAACUUCUGAGGAAGAGGAAGCAUUUACUGAGAAAUUUCUUAAAAUUAAUUGCAAAUAUAUUACCAGUGGCAAGGGCACAGUCAGUGGUGUACUGCUAGUUACACCAAAUAAUAUAAUGUUUGAUCCACAUAAAACUGACCCUUUGGUUCAAGAGAAUGGCUGUGAGGAAUAUGGCAUCAUGUGUCCAAUGGAAGAGGUGAUGUCAGCUGCAAUGUACAAAGAAAUUUUGGAUAGCAAAAUAAAGGAAUCCUUACC
This 554-nucleotide small RNA is filed under the name Pongo abelii (Sumatran orangutan). RNAcentral's name for it is "processed transcript". The record is from RNAcentral. Lineage: Eukaryota; Metazoa; Chordata; Mammalia; Primates; Hominidae.